RNAcentral lists this ribosomal RNA (467 nucleotides) under uncultured bacterium. Its description in RNAcentral is "partial 16S ribosomal RNA". It matches the Rfam family "Bacterial small subunit ribosomal RNA", at positions 28 to 507 of the family's 1533-position model. The record is from RNAcentral.
GAUGAACGCUGGCGGCGUGCUUAACACAUGCAAGUCGAACGGAAAGGCCCUAGCUUGCUUGGGUACUCGAGUGGCGAACGGGUGAGUAACACGUGGGUGACCUGCCCUGCACUUCGGGAUAAGCCUAGGAAACUGGGUCUAAUACUGGAUAGGACCACUUCUUGGAUGGUGUGGUGGAGAGUUUUUUCGGUGUGGGGUUAGCUCGCGGCCUAUCAGCGUGUUGGUGGGGUAAUGGCAUACCAAGGCGUCGGCGGGUAGCCGGCCUGAGAGGGUGUACGGCCACAUUGGGACCGAGAGACGGCCCAGGCGCCGACGGGAGGCAGCAGGGGGGAAGAUUGAUCAAGGGGCGCAAGCCUGAUGCAGCGACGCCGCGUGGGGGAUGACGGCCUUCGGGUUGGAAACUCCUUUCGCUAGGGACGAAGCGUUUUGUGACGGUACCUGGAGAAGAAGCACCGGCUAACUACGUG